RNAcentral lists this ribosomal RNA (301 nucleotides) under uncultured bacterium. RNAcentral describes it as "partial 16S ribosomal RNA". It matches the Rfam family "Bacterial small subunit ribosomal RNA", at positions 509 to 807 of the family's 1533-position model. The record is from RNAcentral.
CAGCAGCCGCGGGAAUACGUAGGGUGCAAGCGUUAAUCGGAAUUACUGGGCGUAAAGCGUGCGCAGGCGGUUAUAUAAGACAGAUGUGAAAUCCCCGGGCUCAACCUGGGAACUGCAUUUGUGACUGUAUAGCUAGAGUACGGCAGAGGGGGAUGGAAUUCCGCGUGUAGCAGUGAAAUGCGUAGAUAUGCGGAGGAACACCGAUGGCGAAGGCAAUCCCCUGGUCCUGUACUGACGCUCAUGCACGAAAGCGUGGGGAGCAAACAGGAUUAGAUACCCCCGUAGUCCCUGUCUCUUAUAC